UGGGGAAGACCCCUUUCGCCUUGAACCUAUGAAGUUUAUUGAAAGAUCACUCAGGCACCCUUUACAGAGAAUGCAGACAGUGCUACCAGGUAGAGGUGAAACCAAUUACAAGUUUCCAGGACAUGUACAAGGUAUUUUAUAUGUUCUAAGUCACAUGUACACAGCAGCAGGAUAGGUGAUGACAAAAUAAGGGGAACACAGUCAAAAGAAUGAGACAUCUGCAGA
Varanus komodoensis (Komodo dragon) is the source of this 225-nucleotide long non-coding RNA. RefSeq lists it as uncharacterized. The record is from RefSeq and is a predicted model, not a curated record. The transcript is spliced from 3 exons. Lineage: Eukaryota; Metazoa; Chordata; Lepidosauria; Squamata; Varanidae.